Molecule: long non-coding RNA, 1800 nt
Organism: Pteropus alecto (black flying fox)
Lineage: Eukaryota; Metazoa; Chordata; Mammalia; Chiroptera; Pteropodidae
Exons: 3
Source: RefSeq, a predicted model, not a curated record
CUGGAGAGGCCGGGUGGGUGCAGGCGACGACGCCCGCGCCUCCCUCGGGGCCGACUGGGCGGGGGACGUGGGCGGCCGAGGCCUGUAGGGUGGGCCCCGCGGCCCCUCAGCUGAGGCGACCCCGCCGCAGCCGCGCCUCCCUUCUGUCAGGACUGCCCCACGCCGCCGCUUCCCAGGCCGGGGUGCUCAGGCUCAGGCCAUCUGCGAGGGCUGCGGCUUCGGGCAUCACGUUAACGGAACGAAAGCGAAAACGCCGCCACCCGCCCACAGCUCGGCUCGCGAGGGACGCGCUGUCAGCUCAAUAAGUUCCGAGAGGAAGGCAGUUCUCGCGAGAUUUCCUGCGCAGGGGGCGGGGCGUGGCGGGCAGGGAAGGCGGGGUGUCGGUCUCGCGACCCAGGGGCUGACGUCACCCGCCUCACGUGAGCGCGCCUCGCCUGACCCCUUUGCGAAGAGGAGGAGCGGCGUGUGCCUUGGUCGCGCGCUCGAAGCUCUGCCGUGCGGUACGAGCGACCGUGCUGCGCAAAUGCCGGGCGGAAAGCACGUAGCGUUUCGGGAACGGCCCUGCUUAUUAGCAUAUGUGCCAUCGUUUACAGUGAAAACGAGAAGAAUAACCGUGCAUUACAUUUAAAACGCACUGGACUGGAAAACGUUGGCGUUCCAUUGCUCAUUUGUUCAUCGUUAGCACGACAUCAUGGACUCAAAAUUUCACGGCUGGAUGAUAAACGAGGCGUCGACGGUUAUUUCUGAAGGUCGGACGCACGGCUGCACGGAAGUCCCGCGGGGAUGACAGUCCGUGCUUCGGCCCUGCUCUGCGCUGCCCUCGUCCUCAGCACACCCGCCAGACGAUCUCCUUCAAAGCCCCGUCCAAGCACAUCUUGUCUUUGCUCGAAGCCUUCUGAAGCCUUCCCAUCUCCAACGGAUUGAAAACCAAAAUCCCAAAAUUGGCUUACAAGGCCCUAGAGGACCUGCCCAUCGCCCGUGCUCCAUUAUUAACCUUCCGGCCUGUGUUCGCCUGGUUCCUGCUCCCACGCUGGCCUCUGCUGUUCCCGGAGCAUGACAGGUGCUCCCACGAGGGACUCUGCAUCGGGGCUUGGUUCCCUCAUCCCCACAACGUUCGCCUGUUUUCCCCCUCCCAUUUCUUCAACUCCCGCGGUUUUCCACCCAUCGAUGCGGCCUUUCCUGGCCACUUCCCAAUACUGCACUUCUUUCUAACACGAUUUCUAUCCUAGCUCCCUGCUUCAUCUCCCCUGAACGCCCAUUGCCAUCUAGUAUGCUACAAAUUUUAUGUUUUCCUUGUGAAUCGUUAAUUCCCAACUAGCAUAUGAGCUCCCCAAGGGCAUGAGUUAUUGUCUGUUUUGUUCGCUGCUCCAUUUCCAGCAACUAGAAUAGUGCUUGGCACAUAAUAGCUGCUUGAUGAAUUGUGUUGAGUAGACGAAUUAAUUAUUUUGGGAUUUAGAUUAUCUAAUCACAAUUUUCAUAUUAAAACUGGUAGUCGAUAAUUAACAUAACAGACUUCUUACCGUAAGUGUGAUCGCUCUUAAUCAAGAUGGUCACAGUAUCCCAUUACUAAUAGUACUUAUGCAGAAAAAAGGAUUUUAAAAAUACACUAAUAGUUGACAUUGAGAGAAAGGAUCUAGUACUGAUUUUCUUGCCAUCGAAGUCCUUAAAGAAAGAAGAAAUUUCUGUUUUUUAGGUAUAGUAGACUUACUAAAUUUUGCAAUAUAAUAAAAGAUGCCAAAAGUUUCAAAAAACUAGGCCUCGUGAUACAAGUCAAUGUAAGGAAAUAAAAAUGUGGCUUUA